UCCAUUUGGUGGCCAUUGGCGCAUGGCUGCAUUGGCUUCAGGCGACAUGACGCUACUGCAUAGCGACAGGAACGCGACGAGGACAAACAGUACCAGCUUCAUGUUUGGGCGAUUCUGAUAUCUGCUAAAUUCUUUGCUCUUAUAUACACUUUCAGCUGUCAUUAUACGAUAUCAUACCUCACAGAUCCAUUGGACGUGGAUUAAACUGUGAAAUUUCAUAUUUCAGAAGGAAAAGACAACGAAAUUUGGUAUUAAGCACAGACUUCCUGGUGCAAGCGGGUGACCAGGCAUAGACGUCCUUUCCGCAUACUCCUUCCUAUUUCUUUGCUUCUGAAGACGAUGGAACGAUGGCGUCUGUGGCGCCCAAUUUAAUCUCUAGUUCCCAGCAUGCCCUUCAUGCAAUAAAAGGGCUCUAGAGGCUCUACCAGAAGGAGAUCACAGAUGUAGCGGAAAAAUUGUACUUAUACAUAUGUGUACUGACUGAGAACGAGUAUAAAGGUAGAGUCGCGGCAACUGAAGCGACUCACAACGUGCCCUCUAGGUGUCGAAUUAAAAUGAAAAUUUAGCCAUACAAUAAACUACAGUAAAAUCAAAAUCAAAA
Molecule: long non-coding RNA, 601 nt
Organism: Drosophila obscura
Lineage: Eukaryota; Metazoa; Arthropoda; Insecta; Diptera; Drosophilidae
Exons: 2
Source: RefSeq, a predicted model, not a curated record